Molecule: long non-coding RNA, 2116 nt
Organism: Poecilia latipinna (sailfin molly)
Lineage: Eukaryota; Metazoa; Chordata; Actinopteri; Cyprinodontiformes; Poeciliidae
Exons: 2
Source: RefSeq, a predicted model, not a curated record
CAUUAAAAUAUUUUCACCAGAAAAUAGAGCAGAAAUAUUAGGUGGGGGGGGAGGGGCUGCACAGUGGUGCAGUGGGUGGCACUGUUGCCCUGAAGGUCGUGGGUUCAAUUCCCGGCCCGAGUUUUUCCUCCAUGUUUUCCCUUCAUGCUGGUUCUGUUUGGAUCUCCGGCUUCCGACUGGUCCAGAACCAUGUCAGGUUAACUGGUCUCUCAUUCUCCCUAGGCGAGUGUGGUUUGUCCUGCGACGGACAGGUGACCCAUCAGGUGACCCAUCAGGUGACCCAUCAGGUGACCCAUCAGGUGACCCGUCAGGUGUCAGGUGACCCAUCAGGUGACCCAUCAGGUGACCCGUCAGGUGUCAGGUGACCCGUCAGGUGACCCGUCAGGUGACCCGUCAGGUGUCAGGUGACCCGUCAGGUGACCCGUCAGGUGACCCAUCAGGUGACCCGUCAGGUGUCAGGUGACCCAUCAGGUGUCAGGUGACCCGUCAGGUGACCCAUCAGGUGACCCAUCAGGUGACCCAUCAGGUGACCCGUCAGGUGUCAGGUGACCCGUCAGGUGACCCGUCAGGUGUCAGGUGACCCGUCAGGUGACCCGUCAGGUGACCCGUCAGGUGACCCAUCAGGUGACCCAUCAGGUGACCCAUCAGGUGACCCAUCAGGUGACCCGUCAGGUGUCAGGUGACCCGUCAGGUGACCCGUCAGGUGACCCCUGACCCCACUGGGACAGGAGGUGUGAGCAAAUGGAUGGAAGGGAACUUGGUAGGAUUCUGUGUUUUUGCAGUGCAGCUGUCAGAUUCUCCUCCUUCCUGUCUUUUCUGCUUCGACCUGAUCGAGUCGUUUUAUUUACACGGAACCAGAACAUUUAGUAAAACACGGAACCGGAACCAGAAUCUGUGUGAAUGAAGGAAACAUCUGGAACAUUUUCCACCAAUCCGGAUCGGCUGGUUCUCUCCCGGUUCUGUUGGUUCUAGAUCAUGGUUAUGAUCAGACCAUCAGAACCAGCUGAACACCAACGCUGUGAUGAGGACCGGGUCAGCAGAACCACGGGUCGGCGCCAGUAGAACUCUGGGAGGAACAGACUCAUCGGAUCGGGGCGCAAACACUGCAGGCGACCCGUUUCUGGUUCUGAGCCCGGUUCAGACCCAGAGAACAUCCAGAGGGUCCGGCAUCCAUCAGGUUCUGCUUUAUUUUGGUACCGAUACCGAGGUUCUGGGCUCGGUUCUGAACAGUGGACUGGUCUCUAAGACGCCUGACCGAUCUUAGAAACACUUCUGGGUUUAAUCCAGAACCAAACCGGGCCUUGGACCAACAUUUAGUUCAUGUAGGAUGUAUCAGACCCAGACCCGGUACCAGUCGGUGCUUCCUGACCCAAACCGGAGCUGAAGGAGAGAAACCUGCUGCUGCGGCUCCAGAACCGGGUCAGGGAGCGGCUCCAGAACCGGGUCAGGGAACGGCUCCAGAACCUCUCCCCUCAGUCUGGAGGUUUAUUUCAGAAACAGCCUCAGCAGCUGCUGCCGGCUGGUUCCUGGUCCAUUUAAUGGACGGGUUCGGGCUCAGAACCUCUCAACCCGACCAGAUCCAACAGAACUCAUUUCUCUGGUCUGAUCAACUGGACCGGGUCAGUCGUUCUCCUGAAGGUCCUGAUGGUUUUCUUUAGGUUCUUCCAGAACCUCUAAGGAUUUUUAAGGUGAAUUUCUAGAUUUCCAGAACCUUUAAUGGUGAGUCUUUACCGACGUCCAGUGGUGGACGCCGCUAGCUAAACGUUAGCUACGCUAACCCUAAAGCAAUAAUUAUAAUCAUUAGUCCUGAUAAUGUUAAUGGCUAUACCAACAUGUAUUCCGCUAAGGCUAAAGCUAAGGCUAAAGCGCUCUACCCACAUGUUGUUUUGCUAAAACUGAUGCUAAAAUGCUAAACCAACAUGGUCUUAGUGGAAGCUAACACGCUAAUCUCAACCAUGUUGAUGCCCACCAUGUGUCACAAGAAAAACAUGUUUGUUUGUUUGUUGUUUACAUGCCAUUUGCUCGAUAAAGAUAAGUGGGAGAAAAAGAGAAAAGGUAUGGAGAGGAAACUGUCUCCACCCCUUCAAAAUAAUGGCAUGGAAACGUCUGAACACUU